GAUGAAGAACGCAGUGAAGUGCGAUAAGUAAUGUGAAUUGCAGAAUUCCGUGAAUCAUCGAAUCUUUGAACGCAAAUUGCACUCUCUGGCAACCCGGGGAGUAUGCCUGUUUGAGGGUCAGUGUUAAUAAAAAUCGGGUUCGUUGCAAUUUUUGUGACGUUUCCGGAGUUUGAGUUAUCUUAACUUCGGUUUUUAAGAGGCUUAAAAUUGACCUUUUUUUGUGCAUUUUAGACGUACAUAAAUUUUUUUUUAUUCGCCUAUCCUAAUGCCAAAAUCUAUUAGAUGCGACCAUAUCUUGCGGUUCCGUGUCUAUAAAUUUUUCAUGAUUUGACCUCAAAUCAGGUAGGAACACCCGCUGAACUUAAGCAUAUCAAUAAGCGGGGA
Molecule: unclassified non-coding RNA, 384 nt
Filed under: soil metagenome
Description: partial contains 5.8S ribosomal RNA, internal transcribed spacer 2, and large subunit ribosomal RNA
Rfam family: 5.8S ribosomal RNA (bases 1-120)
Source: RNAcentral